ACAUCCCGAUGCUAUUCUAGAGAUAGAAAGGUUACUUCGGUACAUCGGUGACAGGUGGUGCAUGGUUGUCGUCAGCUCGUGUCGUGAGAUGUUGGGUUAAGUCCCGCAACGAGCGCAACCCCUAUUGUUAGUUGCCAUCAUUCAGUUGGGCACUCUAGCGAGACUGCCGGUAAUAAACCGGAGGAAGUGGGAUGACGUCAAAUCAUCAUGCCCCUUAUGACCUGGGCUACACACGUGCUACAAUGGUUGGUACAACGAGUUGCGAGUCGGUGACGGCAAGCUAAUCUCUUAAAGCCAAUCUCAGUUCGGAUUGUAGGCUGCAACUCGCCUACAUGAAGUCGGAAUCGCUAGUAAUCGCGGAUCAGCACGCCGCGGUGAAUACGUUCCCGGGCCUU
RNAcentral lists this ribosomal RNA (395 nucleotides) under uncultured Streptococcus sp. RNAcentral's name for it is "bacterial SSU rRNA". It matches the Rfam family "Bacterial small subunit ribosomal RNA", at positions 984 to 1382 of the family's 1533-position model. Lineage: Bacteria; Bacillati; Bacillota; Bacilli; Lactobacillales; Streptococcaceae. The record is from RNAcentral.